This 468-nucleotide ribosomal RNA is filed under the name uncultured bacterium. Its description in RNAcentral is "partial 16S ribosomal RNA". It matches the Rfam family "Bacterial small subunit ribosomal RNA", at positions 28 to 507 of the family's 1533-position model. The record is from RNAcentral.
GACGAACGCUGGCGGCGUGCUUAAUACAUGCAAGUCGAACGGAAAGGCCCUGCUUUUGUGGGGUGCUCGAGUGGCGAACGGGUGAGUAACACGUGAGUAACCUGCCCUUGACUUUGGGAUAACUUCACGAAACUGGGGCUAAUACCGGAUAGGAGCUCCUGCUGCAUGGUGGGGGUUGGAAAGUUUCGGCGGUUGGGGAUGGACUCGCGGCUUAUCAGCUUGUUGGUGGGGUAGUGGCUUACCAAGGCUUUGACGGGUAGCCGGCCUGAGAGGGUGACCGGCCACAUUGGGACUGCGAGACGGCCCAGACUGCUACGGGAGGCAGCGGUGGGAAAUAUUGCACAGUGGGGGGAAGCCUGAUGCAGCAACGCCGCGUGCGGGAUGACGGCCUUCGGGUUGUAAACCGCUUUCGCCUGUGACGAAGCGUGAGUGACGGUAAUGGGUAAAGAAGCACCGGCUAACUACGUG